UACGGGGGGAGCAAGCGUUGUUCGGAUUUACUGGGCGUAAAGGGCGCGUAGGCGGCCAGCACAAGUCAGUUGUGAAAUCUCCGAGCUUAACUCGGAAAGGUCAACUGAUACUGUGCGGCUAGAGUGCAGAAGGGGAAACUGGAAUUCAUGGUGUAGCGGUGAAAUGCGUAGAUAUCAAGAGGAACACCUGCGGCGAAGGCGGGUUGCUGGGCUGACACUGACGCUGAGGCGCGAAGGCUAGGGGAGCGAACGGG
This 254-nucleotide ribosomal RNA is filed under the name uncultured bacterium. Its description in RNAcentral is "partial 16S ribosomal RNA". It matches the Rfam family "Bacterial small subunit ribosomal RNA", at positions 524 to 776 of the family's 1533-position model. The record is from RNAcentral.